ACAGUCACUGACAUUAGAUACCCGCGUAGUCCAGGGUGUAAACGCUGCAGACUUGGUGUUGGAAGUCCUUUGGGGGCAUUCAGUGCCGGAGAGAAGUUGUUAAGUCUGCUACUUGGGGAGUACGUCCGCAAGGAUGAAACUUAAAGGAAUUGGCGGGGGAGCACCGCAACGGGAGGAGCGUGCGGUUUAAUUGGAUUCAACACCGUAAACUCACCAGGGAAGACUGUUACAUGAAAGCCGAGAUGAAGACUCUGCUAGAUUUUCAG
Molecule: ribosomal RNA, 266 nt
Filed under: uncultured archaeon
Lineage: Archaea
Description: partial 16S ribosomal RNA
Rfam family: Archaeal small subunit ribosomal RNA
Source: RNAcentral